CCGCGGCAUCCUUUCUUACAUCCAUAAUGUACAAGCUUCUGAAAAAAUGAUGAGGUCUCAGAAAGAGUUUUUUUUAAAGGGACCCUCUUUGUCCCUUCGCAAUCCAUUAGUGACAAGACUAGGUAGCAUAAGAGUCAAUCCAAAGCUCGUCUCACUAAACACCUGCAUUAGUAUAUUACACGUUUUACAUGCUUGAAAAGACUAGAACAAGUCGUGGGAAUAGCCUCACUUAAAAUGAGUUUUCCCUUUUGUGCAAAAAUUGACUUUCUUGCUUCGUUAAUCAUGUUAGCUC
This 292-nucleotide long non-coding RNA is filed under the name Mytilus galloprovincialis (Mediterranean mussel). The record is from RNAcentral. Lineage: Eukaryota; Metazoa; Mollusca; Bivalvia; Mytilida; Mytilidae.